This 45-nucleotide non-coding RNA is filed under the name Schistosoma mattheei. The record is from RNAcentral. Lineage: Eukaryota; Metazoa; Platyhelminthes; Trematoda; Strigeidida; Schistosomatidae.
AUCCAGAUGAUGAGUCCCAAACAGGAUGAAAAGCGCGUAUUGGAU